CACCUUAAAACUAGCCCCACAACUAAAAGCAAAAAUAAAUAUUAAUAAACCCUAAGAUAUUACAUCUAUAAAUUAAAACAUUCUACCGCCUAAGUAUGGGAGAUAGAAAAGGAAAAAGGAGCUAUAAAAGAAGUACCGCAAGGGAAUGAUGAAAGAGAAUAUGAAACAGUUUAACAAGUCAAUAGAAGCAGAGAUUAAACCUCGUACCUUUUGCAUCAUGAUUUAGCAAGCAUAAAUCAAGCAAAGAGCACUUAAGUUUGAAACCCCGAAACUAAGUGAGCUACUUCAAGUCAGCCAAACAUCUGGGCUAACCCGUAUCUGUGGCAAAAGAUUGGGAAGAACUUUAAGUAGAGGUGAUAAACCUACCGAACUUAGUUAUAGCUGGUUGCCUGAGAAAUGGAUAGAAGUUCAGCCUAAUUACUUCCCCCAUCACUUAUGAUAACUCACUCAAGAAUACUGUAAGUAAUUAGAGUUAGUCAAAAGAGGUACAGCUCAUUUGACGAAAGAUACAACUUUAAUAAAGUAGGUUAAAGAUCAAAUUAAUUAAGAUAACAUACCCUAGUGGGCCUAAAAGCAGCCAUCUGAAUAGAAAGCGUUAAAGCUCAAGCACCAAACAAUCAUAUAUACUGAUAUACUCUCUAAAACCCCUCUAAAUAACAGGCCAUUCCACCACACAUGGAAAUGAUAAUGCUAAAAUUAGUAAUAAGAGAAAUGAAAAUCUCUCCGCACACAAGUGUAACUCGGAACGAACCCACACCGAAAAUUAACGACCCCAAAACCCAGAGGGAAUUGCUAAAAAAUAAGUAAAACAAGAAGAAUCACCUACCAAUCAUCGUUAAACCCACACUGGAGUGUUACCCCGGAAAGACUAAAAGGAAAAGAAGGAACUCGGCAAAUAUUUACUAUGCCCCGCCUGUUUACCAAAAACACCGCCUCUUGAAAUUAUAACAUAAGAGGUCCCGCCUGCCCUGUGACCAUGUGUUUAACGGCCGCGGUAUUUUGACCGUGCGAAGGUAGCGCAAUCACUUGUCUUUUAAAUAAAGACCUGUAUGAAUGGCACGACGAGGGCUUAACUGUCUCCUUUUCCUAGUCAAUGAAAUUGAUCCCCCCGUGCAGAAGCGGGGAUGAAGUAAUAAGACGAGAAGACCCUGUGGAGCUUUAGAUAAUACCGACCUUAUGUUAAAGCCCUUACAGAUGAGGGACAAACAAUUAAUAAAUUCUGUAAAUAUCUUUGGUUGGGGCGACCGCGGGGUAAAAUAUAACCCCCGUGAGGACUGGGGUAAACCCAAAACCAAGAACACCAGUUCUAAGUAGCAAAAAUUUUGACCUUUAGAUCCGGCAUUGCCGAUCAACGAACCUAGUUACCCCAGGGAUAACAGCGCAAUCCCCUUCAAGAGUCCCUAUCGAUAAGGGGGUUUACGACCUCGAUGUUGGAUCAGGACAUCCUAAUGGUGCAGCCGCUAUUAAGGGUUCGUUUGUUCAACGAUUAAAGUCCUACGUGAUCUGAGUUCAGACCGGAGUAAUCCAGGUCAGUUUCUAUCUAUUAUAUGUUCUUCUUUAGUACGAAAGGACCAAGAAGAAAAGGCCUAUGUUAUAAAUAAGCCUUCCUUUUAUCCGAUGAAGCCAUCUAAAAAGGGUAAUAAAGCAUAAUGAUAAAAUUGAAGAUAACAACAUAUAGGAGAAGUAUAAAUACAAAUAUAUUACAUUUUUAAGGGAUUAAUUUUCCCUCCUAUAACAUAAUUCUACAGAAGAAAUUUAUACUUUACCCCAACUUUUAUGGGGUAAAGUAUGUACUAUUUUAUGGUGGCAGACAUCGGACAACAAACCCAUAGAAAUGUCCCUCAGUACCCCAAUGAUCGUGAAAGUAUCAACAUGCAACUUAUAGCCAUAUCACC
This 1895-nucleotide ribosomal RNA is filed under the name Halicampus grayi (Gray's pipefish). RNAcentral's name for it is "16S ribosomal RNA". The stretch from base 141 to 1730 matches the Rfam family "Bacterial large subunit ribosomal RNA". Lineage: Eukaryota; Metazoa; Chordata; Actinopteri; Syngnathiformes; Syngnathidae. The record is from RNAcentral.